RNAcentral lists this ribosomal RNA (301 nucleotides) under uncultured bacterium. Its description in RNAcentral is "partial 16S ribosomal RNA". It matches the Rfam family "Bacterial small subunit ribosomal RNA", at positions 509 to 807 of the family's 1533-position model. The record is from RNAcentral.
CAGCAGCCGCGGUAAUACGUAGGUGGCAAGCGUUGUCCGGAAUUAUUGGGCGUAAAGGGCUCGCAGGCGGUUUCUUAAGUCUGAUGUGAAAGCCCCCGGCUCAACCGGGGAGGGUCAUUGGAAACUGGGAAACUUGAGUGCAGAAGAGGAGAGUGGAAUUCCACGUGUGGCGGUGAAAUGCGUAGAGAUGUGGAGGAACACCAGUGGCGAAGGCGACUCUCUGGUCUGUAACUGACGCUGAGGAGCGAAAGCGUGGGGAGCGAACAGGAUUAGAUACCCCCGUAGUCCCUGUCUCUUAUAC